ACUUUAAGUUGGGAGGAAGGGUUGUAGAUUAAUACUCUGCAAUUUUGACGUUACCGACAGAAUAAGCACCGGCUAACUCUGUGCCAGCAGCCGCGGUAAUACAGAGGGUGCAAGCGUUAAUCGGAAUUACUGGGCGUAAAGCGCGCGUAGGUGGUUUGUUAAGUUGGAUGUGAAAUCCCCGGGCUCAACCUGGGAACUGCAUUCAAAACUGACUGACUAGAGUAUGGUAGAGGGUGGUGGAAUUUCCUGUGUAGCGGUGAAAUGCGUAGAUAUAGGAAGGAACACCAGUGGCGAAGGCGACCACCUGGACUAAUACUGACACUGAGGUGCGAAAGCGUGGGGAGCAAACAGGAUU
This 355-nucleotide ribosomal RNA is filed under the name Pseudomonas sp. ATR119/2. RNAcentral's name for it is "bacterial SSU rRNA". It matches the Rfam family "Bacterial small subunit ribosomal RNA", at positions 432 to 779 of the family's 1533-position model. Lineage: Bacteria; Pseudomonadati; Pseudomonadota; Gammaproteobacteria; Pseudomonadales; Pseudomonadaceae. The record is from RNAcentral.